CCCUUAGAUGUUCUGGGCCGCACGCGCGCUACACUGAUGCAUUCAACGAGUCUAAAACCUGCUCUGAUAGGGGUGGGUAAUCUUUUGAAUGUGCAUCGUGAUUGGGAUAGAUGAUUGCAAUUUUUCAUCUUCAACGAGGAAUGCCUAGUAAACGCAAGUCAUCAGCUUGCAUUGAUUACGUCCCUGCCCUUUGUACACACCGCCCGGCGCUCCUACCGAUUGAAUGAUCCGAUGAAUAUCAUGGAUUGAGGAUGCAAGUAGGUUCGCCUAUCUUCAUCUUCGAGAAGUGAAGUAAAUCUUAUCAUUUAGAGGAAGGAGAAGUCGUAACA
This 329-nucleotide ribosomal RNA is filed under the name uncultured eukaryote. RNAcentral's name for it is "partial 18S ribosomal RNA". It matches the Rfam family "Eukaryotic small subunit ribosomal RNA", at positions 1470 to 1796 of the family's 1831-position model. The record is from RNAcentral.